AAUUAAACUUCCUCCUAUCUAUGACUUUAUGAGUUUUUUUUCUUUAAAAAUUGUUGUUCAAAAAUUACCAAUGUGUGAAAUAGUGAUGUAGUGAUGAAAUAAUUGUUUGUUAAUAUCCUAAUAGCAUAGUUCAAUAAAUUACAUAGAGCACUGUCACGUAAAAGGGGGGAAAGAACCAUUUACCGAAGUAGGUGAACAAGUUAAAUCAAAUACUUGGACCGCACUGUAUAAAGGCCAAAAGUGUACCAGCAAACAAUGCAUUUCAAUCCAGGAGGUGGCACUUAAUUACCUCUCUUAUCUUUUAUAUAUUUACACAAAUACUUCGUACAAAUAAAGAUACUUGAAGCGUGAAAUUUUGUCAUCUUGAUAGACUUCUCUUUACGAUUGCUGUUUGUGAUUUUAAACUGUCUUGUCAAACACUUGCUAUGGAUAGCUCUAUAUACGUGAAGGUAAUGAAAAGCAUACACAUACAUACACAUUCUCUGUUGCUUACAUUAAACGGCGAAUUUUAUCACGAAUAACUUCGUUGAAACGAAUCGGAACGAAAUCUCUCUCGAGAUAAAAUCUAGCUUUUGAUGUGCUUUUCACUUUCAUACUUAUCUGUAUGCAUUCUUGCGUGAAAUCGUUUUUUAUUUUUCACGAUAUAACUCAAGAUACAUUACCGGCCUUUUUGACACCAAACACAUGUAGAUCUAUAUUAACAUAUUUGUGGCUGGAAAUUUUAAAAUUCAAUAAUUUUUCUAGUUAAUUUCAAAUAUGAAUUAAUAAUAAUAGUUAGACUGCAGAUGUUUAUGCAUUCUAAAAUAAUUUAAAAAUAUAAAGAUAUAUAGAAUACACUUAAUAUGCAAAAAUAUAAAAGAUAUCCAAAAUAAAGAGGUUAGUGCGGUAUUUAAUGGGUGGAGCAAAUCUCUAUUUCCUGAGUUACAUUCAUAAAAAUAUGAAAUUCCAUAAACAUCCGCGUCUAAUUGAUUACCAUAAAAAAUUUCCCUUUCCUCGGAAUCAACUAAGGUGAAAAAACCGAAUAAUACACCAGUGGCCAUUAACAUGUUUAGCACAUCAGUAAUGAUAAAUAAAACUAUCAGAAAAAUUAAAAAG
Molecule: long non-coding RNA, 1095 nt
Organism: Bombus huntii
Lineage: Eukaryota; Metazoa; Arthropoda; Insecta; Hymenoptera; Apidae
Exons: 2
Source: RefSeq, a predicted model, not a curated record